GGUGCGAAAGCAGGUCAUAGUGAUCCGGUGGUUCUGAAUGGAAGGGCCAUCGCUCAACGGAUAAAAGGUACUCCGGGGAUAACAGGCUGAUACCGCCCAAGAGUUCAUAUCGACGGCGGUGUUUGGCACCUCGAUGUCGGCUCAUCACAUCCUGGGGCUGAAGUAGGUCCCAAGGGUAUGGCUGUUCGCCAUUUAAAGUGGUACGCGAGCUGGGUUUAGAACGUCGUGAGACAGUUCGGUCCCUAUCUGCCGUGGGCGCUGGAGAACUGAGGGGGGC
This 277-nucleotide ribosomal RNA is filed under the name Staphylococcus aureus. RNAcentral's name for it is "partial 23S ribosomal RNA". It matches the Rfam family "Bacterial large subunit ribosomal RNA", at positions 2396 to 2672 of the family's 2925-position model. The record is from RNAcentral. Lineage: Bacteria; Bacillati; Bacillota; Bacilli; Caryophanales; Staphylococcaceae.